Molecule: non-coding RNA, 29 nt
Filed under: Mus musculus (house mouse)
Lineage: Eukaryota; Metazoa; Chordata; Mammalia; Rodentia; Muridae
Source: RNAcentral
UCCCAGAGAAAUAAGGUAUGCCUGGAAGA